GCCUAAAAUGGCAAUGCAAAUUGCACAAGUAUUUAUUGAAAGCCAUGGCCAAAAUAGGUGAAAAUCAAAGAAAUAAGACCUGAACCUAGCCAAAAACUAAGAUAGGCUCUAAAGUUCAAAGUGCAUGAACCCUAGGCUAGGAAACAAGUCUUCAACCCUGCUAGAAAGAUCCUUUCUUUAUUCUUUUUAUUAAUUCAAUCCUUUUCAAACAUAAUUUUAACCUUUCUCUCCUUGCCCUUUUUUAGCCUUUCAUUAGUUACCCUUCUCUCAUCCCAUCCAAAUCCAAAGAGAGCAACUCCACAAUCUUGGCUGAAACAGAAGUCAAACAAAGCCAUUCAAAAUAAAGGAAGGAAAACGCAGGUCUCCAAACCGAAGUCCCUCACUAUGAAUGCGCGAGUCAGGCCUACAACACAAUUCUGAGCUAUAAUGUGAAAAGUGUUGCGAGAAAAUCUGCUGAUGUCAACUGGAAUGAUGCUGAUUGUUUUUGCAAUUAAUUGGUUUGGUUAAAAGUUGGGGGGCUGGUUCUUAAUAAUUACCAGUAGAUUUUUUGUGUUCGUUUUGGGAUUGGAGAUCACAGCUCAAAUUAAAUCUACAACAGUAAGAUUUACCUGUGAAAUAUGUGGAAAUGGAAUCAACUCAUAUGAAGCUUGAGUUCUGCUGUUUCUGGGUUUCGCAAAUGGCAAGAGAAGGUACACCUACUACUACAAUCUGUUGAAACGUAAAGUCAAUCAAUCUUCGGUUUAGUUCUACAUCACUUUCAUGUAGAACAUUCACCACGGUGUCUCUGCU
This 789-nucleotide unclassified non-coding RNA is filed under the name Hevea brasiliensis (rubber tree). Lineage: Eukaryota; Viridiplantae; Streptophyta; Magnoliopsida; Malpighiales; Euphorbiaceae. The record is from RNAcentral.